AUGAACGCUAGCGACAGGCCUAACACAUGCAAGUCAGGGGCAGCACAAGGAGCAAUCUGAGGUGGCGACCGGCGCACGGGUGAGUAACACGUAUGCAACCUGCCUGUAAGCGGGGAAUAACCCGUUGAAAGACGGACUAAUACCGCAUAAUACUAAAUUACUGCAUGGUAAUUUAUUUAAACAUUUAUGGCUUACAGAUGGGCAUGCGCAUGAUUAGCUAGUUGGAGAGGUAACGGCUCCCCAAGGCAACGAUCAUUAGGGGUUCUGAGAGGAAGGUCCCCACACUGGUACUGAGACACGGACCAGACUCCUACGGGAGGCAGCAGUGAGGAAUAUUGGUCAAUGGACGAGAGUCUGAACCAGCCAAGUCGCGUGCAGGAAGAAUGUCCUUAAUGGAUUGUAAACUGCUUUUGCAGGGGAAUAAAGUGCAUCACGUGUGAUGUUUUGUAUGUACUCUGCGAAUAAGGAUCGGCUAACUCCGUGCCAGCAGCGGC
Molecule: ribosomal RNA, 494 nt
Filed under: uncultured bacterium
Lineage: Bacteria
Description: bacterial SSU rRNA
Rfam family: Bacterial small subunit ribosomal RNA
Source: RNAcentral